CCUACGGGAGGCAGCAGUGAGGAAUAUUGGUCAAUGGCCGAGAGGCUGAACCAGCCAAGUCGCGUGAGGGAUGACGGCCCUACGGGUUGUAAACCUCUUUUGUCGGGGAGCAAAGAGAGUCACGUGUGGCUCAUUGAGAGUACCCGAAGAAAAAGCAUCGGCUAACUCCGUGCCAGCAGCCGCGGUAAUACGGAGGAUGCGAGCGUUAUCCGGAUUUAUUGGGGUUAAAGGGUGCGCAGGCUGAGGUGCAAGUCUGUGGGCAAAUUGCGGGGCUCAACCCCGUACUGCCGUUGAAACUGCAUCCCUUGAGUGCGCGAGAAGUAUGCGGAAUGCGUGGGGUAGCGGUAAAAUGCAUAAAUAUCACGCAGAACUCGGAUUGCGAAGGCAGCAUACCGGCGCGCAACUGACGCUCAUGCACGAAAGCGUGGGUAUCGAACAGGAUUAGAUACCCGGGUAGUC
Molecule: ribosomal RNA, 459 nt
Filed under: uncultured bacterium
Lineage: Bacteria
Description: partial 16S ribosomal RNA
Rfam family: Bacterial small subunit ribosomal RNA
Source: RNAcentral